AGACCCGAAACCCGGUGAUCUAGCCAUGGGCAGGUUGAAGGUUGGGUAACACUAACUGGAGGACCGAACCGACUAAUGUUGAAAAAUUAGCGGAUGACCUGUGGCUGGGGGUGAAAGGCCAAUCAAACCGGGAGAUAGCUGGUUCUCCCCGAAAGCUAUUUAGGUAGCGCCUCGUGAAUUCAUCUCCGGGGGUAGAGCACUGUUUCGGCUAGGGGGCCAUCCCGGCUUACCAACCCGAUGCAAACUGCGAAUACCGGAGAAUGUUAUCACGGGAGACACACGGCGGGUGCUAACGUCCGUCGUGAAGAGGGAAACAACCCAGACCGCCAGCUAAGGUCCCAAAGUCAUGGUUAAGUGGGAAACGAUGUGGGAAGGCCCAGACAGCCAGGAUGUUGGCUUAGAAGCAGCCAUCAUUUAAAGAAAGCGUAAUAGCUCACUGGUCGAGUCGGCCUGCGCGGAAGAUGUAACGGGGCUAAACCAUGCACCGAAGCUGCGGCAGCGAACGUAUCACUUAAAGCGAUUCAGCGGGUUACGAUUGACGGAGCG
This 546-nucleotide ribosomal RNA is filed under the name Salmonella enterica subsp. enterica serovar Infantis. RNAcentral describes it as "partial 23S ribosomal RNA". It matches the Rfam family "Bacterial large subunit ribosomal RNA", at positions 711 to 1223 of the family's 2925-position model. The record is from RNAcentral. RNAcentral also lists the same sequence under 1 other name. Lineage: Bacteria; Pseudomonadati; Pseudomonadota; Gammaproteobacteria; Enterobacterales; Enterobacteriaceae.